RNAcentral lists this ribosomal RNA (233 nucleotides) under uncultured bacterium. RNAcentral describes it as "partial 16S ribosomal RNA". It matches the Rfam family "Bacterial small subunit ribosomal RNA", at positions 100 to 334 of the family's 1533-position model. The record is from RNAcentral.
CGGGACGGGUGGGUAAUGCUUGGGAAUCUAGCUUAUGGAGGGGGAUAACUACGGGAAACUGUAGCUAAUACCGCGUAAUAUCGAGAGAUUAAAGUGUGGGACCUUCGGGCCACAUGCCAUAGGAUGAGCCCAAGUGGGAUUAGGUAGUUGGUGAGGUAAAGGCUCACCAAGCCGACGAUCUCUAGCUGGUCUGAGAGGAUGACCAGCCACACUGGGACUGAGACACGGCCCAG